This is a non-coding RNA of Bactrocera oleae (olive fruit fly), 1077 nucleotides long. The record is from RefSeq and is a predicted model, not a curated record. NCBI's taxonomy places the organism in Eukaryota, Metazoa, Arthropoda, Insecta, Diptera, Tephritidae.
UUUUCGUUUAGCCAAUAAAUCAACAAAUUUUAUUAUACAAUUAAAAAUAAAUUAACAGAAAAUAUAUUGUUAACAUUAAAAUAAAAUACAAUAUUAUAACCCACUUAAUGAAUCCUUUGAAAUCACCUAUUUACUCUCCCGCACACAUAUUUAAAUACACGCCAUACUUGUUCUGCGCUCCAACCGCCUCACACUUCGGUAAACAUUAAACUCCAAAAUUUAUACAUUUUGAUGCGUUAUCUUUAUGCACAAACAUGCUUGUAAUGCCAGAUUGCGCCGUUUUGUACCUUCGUGUACCGUUUAAUGCAAAUUUCUAAAAAUACUACUGAUUUUUUCGGAAUUUUGUCCCCAAUUUCGUAAUAAAUACUAAACAGUUAAAUGAGUUCAUUUGUCUUUCGGGCAAACAUUUGGCAUUCUACUGUGGUUUCUAGCAGAAAAAAGUGUCAAAAAAGUUCCAUUAAAAUGUCAAUCAAUCAAAUUCUAUCAGCUCGAUCAUCUAAGUUUUUAUAAUUUCGGCGACUUUGUUUACAUUUUGAAAAAUUUGCCAAUUUAUUUUAUCAAGGUGAAUGGCUUUGACUUCUAAGCAAAAUAAAAAUAAAUAAGGUAUACGAUAAGGCAGGAAAUAUUCCAUAAUGAAUUUCAAAUCAUCAGAUCCUUCUAUCAAAAACGACGAAAAUUGCAACAAAAGUAAAAGUCACCAAGUAAAACUUCGAGAAACGCAGUGUAGAGCGUCAGCUUUUGAACAAGUUCUAAAGGCCGUAUAAAGCUCACGUAGAAAAAUAUUGUCAUAAGUAUGAUUCACAGCUAGUUUCAUACAAAAUUUGUUGAAGAAAAUGAGUCCUUAUCAAUUUAUAAGCUGUGUCUCGAAAUAUACGCGGAAUACUGUAACUUACCUCGUUUUUGUAAAAAAUCUUUCUGGAGAUCGGACGUAUUCAGAGUCUAUGUCUUUGCACUAUAAAUCAAGAAGAUUAUAGUAGAAAAAAUUGUUCUCAAAGGCGUCAGCGGCUGUACCUAUCAAAUUCUACAAAAUAUUUGUACCCUAAACGAAGUUUGUAACACCCAGCAGCAAACGUUGGA